This 126-nucleotide ribosomal RNA is filed under the name Lepisosteus oculatus (spotted gar). The record is from RNAcentral. Lineage: Eukaryota; Metazoa; Chordata; Actinopteri; Semionotiformes; Lepisosteidae.
GCCAGCAGCCAUAUCAACCUGCAACUCACAACUGGCAACCUACUGAAGAUAAACUGGUGUGAGCCUGGCCAGUACUUGGAUGGGAAAUGGGAGUCCUUCUGGGAAAAACUAAGGAAGCUGCUGGAA